GCCGCCGUAGCUCAGUUAGGUAGAGCAACGGGCUGUUAACCCGUAGGUCGUCGGUCCGAGUCCGACCGGCGGCGCCA
RNAcentral lists this transfer RNA (77 nucleotides) under Candidatus Bathyarchaeota archaeon. RNAcentral's name for it is "tRNA-Asn". It matches the Rfam family "tRNA". Rfam says of the family: Transfer RNA (tRNA) molecules are approximately 80 nucleotides in length. Their secondary structure includes four short double-helical elements and three loops (D, anti-codon, and T loops). Further hydrogen bonds mediate the characteristic L-shaped molecular structure. tRNAs have two regions of fundamental functional importance: the anti-codon, which is responsible for specific mRNA codon recognition, and the 3' end, to which the tRNAs corresponding amino acid is attached (by aminoacyl-tRNA synthetases). tRNAs cope with the degeneracy of the genetic code in two manners: having more than one tRNA (with a specific anti-codon) for a particular amino acid; and 'wobble' base-pairing, i.e. permitting non-standard base-pairing at the 3rd anti-codon position. RNAcentral also lists the same sequence under 1 other name. The record is from RNAcentral. Lineage: Archaea; Thermoproteati; Candidatus Bathyarchaeota.